AAUUACUCUCCAAAUUUUUGAGCAGAUUUUAAAUCAUCAUCCUCCUCCUCCUCCUCCUCCCUCUCUCUCCUUCUCUAAUCUUCAUUUUCUUUUUCUGUUUUUUGCUUCCAUAUAUAAAUACAUAUUUGCCCUUCCUUCCCUUCCCUUCCCUUGUUUGGAAGGGAAUAUUGCAGAGAGAAAAGAGAAGGGAAGAGAGGAGAGGGGGUUGAUGGUGAAUGGUGAAGUCUCUUACAAGAGAUUAACAGCAACAAUGACUGCUACCAAUUCAUCUUCCUGUCUCUCUUCCACUUCCAAUGAGAAGAAGCACUGGUGGCUCAGCACCCGAAAGAUUGUGGAAAAGUAUAUGAAAGACGCCAGAAGCCUGAUUGCGACCCACGAAUACAGCGAGGUAGCAUCGGCGGUGGGCCUUCUGGACGCGGCUCUCGCCGUCUCCCCGCGCCUGGAGGAAGCCCUCGAACUCAAAGCCAGGUCUCUCCUCUAUCUCCGCCGCUUCAAGGAGGUAGCCGAUAUGCUCCAGGACUACAUUCCCAGCCUCAUAAUGGCAACCGACGACUCUUUCUCCUCCUCAUCCUCUGGUGGCUCUGAAAAUUCGUCUCAGCCGCUUUCCCGUGAGCGAGUCAAGCUUCUCUCCUCCAAUAGCGGCAACUCGUCCUCCAGCUCGCCGGAUCGGGAUCCUUCCUUCAAGUGCUUCUCUGUCUCGGACUUGAAGAAGAAGGUCAUGGCAGGCCUCUGUAAAAACGGCGACAAGGAAGGGCAUUGGAGGUAUUUGGUUCUGGGCCAGGCGUGUUACCACCUCGGCCUAAUGGAGGACGCCAUGGCUCUCCUCCAGACCGGGAAACGCCUCGCCACCGCCGCAUUCCGCCGCGAGAGCAUAUGCUGGUCCGACGACAGUUUCUCUCUUUCCAGCUUCAACCUCUCUAACGACACAGUCUCUUCCGCCAACUCACCCGCCACGCCUCCUAGGAUGUUAUCCGAGUCCGAAACCGUUACCCAUCUCCUUAGCCACGUUAAGCUCCAUCUCCGCCGCCGAACCGCCGCAAUCGCUGCCCUCGACGCAGGCCUUUACUCAGAGGCCAUCCGCCACUUCUCCAAAAUCGUGGACGGCCGGCGUGGAGCCCCACAGGGAUUCCUGGCAGAGUGCUACAUGCAGCGCGCCUCCGCUUUCCGGGCGGCGGGACGGAUCGCUGAGGCGAUCGCGGACUGCAAUCGGACUCUGGCUCUUGAGCCGAGUUGUAUACAAGCAUUGGACAGGAAGAGCCUCACUUCUGGAGACCAUCAGGUGUUUGCCGGAUUGCUUACAUGACCUGGAGCACUUGAAGCUUCUGUACAAUUCCAUCUUGAGGGAUCGGAAGCUGCCGGGGCCGGCGUGGAAGCGGCACAACGUGAGAUACAGGGAGAUUCCGGGGAAGCUGUGUUUGCUGACGACCAAGAUACAGCAAUUGAAGCAGAGGGUGGCUUCAGGGGAAACAGGGAACGUGGAUUACUAUGCUUUGAUCGGGUUGCGACGAGGGUGUUCGAGGUCUGAGUUGGAGAGAGCGCAUUUGCUGCUCUGUUUACGACACAAGCCCGAUAAGGCCACCAUUUUCAUUGAUCGGUGUGAGCUGGCGGAUGAUCGGGAUGUGGAUUCAAUUAGGGAUAAAGCGAAGAUGUCGGCUCUGUUGCUUUACAGAUUGCUGCAAAAGGGUUAUUCAAACGUGAUGGCAACCAUCGCGGAGGAGGAGGCAGCGGAGAAACAGAGGAAGAAGGCUGCAGCUGCAUUACAGGCAGCUCAAGGUCAGGCUGCUCAUGCCGCAGUAAUUCAAGUGCAAGUGUCCCAAACCCAAGCCCAAGAAUCUCGAAUGGAAUCCUCCUCUUGUUCUUUCAAUUCUAGCAAUAGGAAUGGUGGUAAUCAUAACAAGAAUAAUAUGCACUCGUCGUCAGCGGAAGCGAAAGCAGCGGCAGCAGCGUCGUUCCAAGGGGUGUUUUGCAGAGACAUUGCGGUCGUGGGGAGUUUGCUGUCGCAGGUUGGGUUUAACCGCCCAAUUCAAGUCAAGUAUGAGGCGUUGAGUUGCUGAUUGGAAAAUUGCAAGUAUAUUACCGGCGGGAAGAAUCUUGCUUCAGUUUCAUUUCUGUCUGUACAAAAAAGCCGGGAAAUUUUUGUCACCAUUUUUUCCAUUAUCCUUAUCUACCACUACUAGUAGCUACUACGGUGUUGGACUAGUUCAUGUACAAAUUUUCGACUUUUUCAUUUUUCGCUUUAGCUUAAAAUUGGAUGCCUUUUCCUUCUUUUUUAGUUACCUUUUGAAAUUAAAUAUAUAAAUUUCAUAUU
Molecule: non-coding RNA, 2308 nt
Organism: Malus domestica (apple)
Lineage: Eukaryota; Viridiplantae; Streptophyta; Magnoliopsida; Rosales; Rosaceae
Source: RefSeq, a predicted model, not a curated record